UGCUAAUACCGGAUAACAACAGAUGAUGCCUAUCAACUGUUUAAAAGAUGGUUCUGCUAUCACUCUUGGAUGGACCUGCGGUGCAUUAGCUAGUUGGUAGGGUAACGGCCUACCAAGGCGAUGAUGCAUAGCCGAGUUGAGAGACUGAUCGGCCACAUUGGGACUGAGACACGGCCCAAACUCCUACGGGAGGCAGCAGCA
RNAcentral lists this ribosomal RNA (201 nucleotides) under uncultured Lactobacillus sp. RNAcentral's name for it is "partial 16S ribosomal RNA". It matches the Rfam family "Bacterial small subunit ribosomal RNA", at positions 161 to 355 of the family's 1533-position model. Lineage: Bacteria; Bacillati; Bacillota; Bacilli; Lactobacillales; Lactobacillaceae. The record is from RNAcentral.